GAGUCCACAUAUGUUCGGGGGAGGGACCCCAGAAGGCGGCUGACAGUAUUCCUUUAGCCAGAAAUCCCUUCAGGGAAGAGAAAGGUGCUCCCCUUUGCCUGCUUUUAUACUACAGACUGUUUCCAACUCCAGCUAGAAGUGACUAUUGCCGAUUAUGGUAAUCAGUGGCGACAAGCUCCCUUUGACUGCUCACUUCUCCAGUGAGGCUUCAAGCUUCUAGGCAUCAAGAUUAGUAAGGCUGUCUUCUGGGUGGGCCAGUUUGUUUCUCAGUGACACGAAAACAUUGCCUGGGGUGUGCACUGGGAUUUUCCAGAAAAUAUUUCAAGCAGAAUAUACUUAUUUUCCAGUUUUGAAAACAACUAGAUUGCCCAUCUCCAUUUCUCUCUAUCAUCUACUGUAUUAUUCUAUGGACAACUGCCACCCUAAUAAGGUCAAAGGAAACCAUGAGAGACUGUCUAACUAGACUUUUUGCUUGAUUUCCUGGACCCAAGAGCAGGAGUGAGGAGCUUUCUCCUGGUAAUUUUGUUAUAGAGCAAUCAAUGAGCUUGCUUCCUCAUGCACAUGGAGGCCAACACCAUGACAAAGGCUUUUGAGAAAAGAAAAGCUUUAUGGAGACCUGACUGGCAAGGAAACAGAAGAAAAUUCUCAUUUCUGUCUCUCUGAGCUGGGGUCUGGACCAGAUUUUAUAUGCAUAGGGUCAAGAAGGGAAGCCAGAAGUCAAGGCCACAGAAGACACAGGAAACAUCAUUUCCAAAGUGGGAGACAAAGCUGUUAACAGGAAAUUAUUUGUAAAGUCAAGAGCCAAGCAAAACAGAAAAAGGACAAGAAAUCUAUCACCUGUGGGGAUUAGUUAUAAAUAAAGAACAUAUAGCCAGCUACAUUACAUUCCUAGAUGCCUGAGUUUCUAUCAAUAGUGCAAUUUUUUGAUGAAACACAUAGAAAAUAUCAACAUGGCAAACUCUGAGAUGUUACCUGGCGCCCUUCCACCAAAAAGGAAAUUACCACAGCCACCCCAUCCUUCAGUAAGCAUUACCCUGAUCAGUCAUCAGCCAUUACACUGAAGCAAGACCCUCCACCAGCAAAAGGAUUAUGACUUGGUGAAGGCUCAGAUGAUCAUUAGCACUUUUAGCAACAAAGUAUUUUUAAAUUAAGGUGCAAAAAGAAAAUACAAUAGGAGUCCUGAACCAAUUAAAUGAACAUCAUGAGUAGAAGAGAAAGAAAUGUGUAAGAUAGAUGGAGAUUGCUACCAAAUGUUAACAGCC
Molecule: long non-coding RNA, 1262 nt
Filed under: Homo sapiens (human)
Lineage: Eukaryota; Metazoa; Chordata; Mammalia; Primates; Hominidae
Description: HSALNT0208768
Source: RNAcentral